Non-coding RNA from Schistosoma mansoni, 47 nucleotides. Lineage: Eukaryota; Metazoa; Platyhelminthes; Trematoda; Strigeidida; Schistosomatidae. The record is from Rfam.
GCACUGCUGAGGAGUCCCACCAAUAGGACGAAACGGACGUCCAGUGC